UUCUACGGUCUUUGAGAAGGUAUCAUGAGAUACAAAAAAUUUAGUGUAAAAUUUAGUAUCUUAUGAUACCUCAUAGUACCUAGGUACCAUAAGAUACUAAAUUUACAAUAGAAAAAAUGGUACCUUGUGAUACCUCCUCAAGGAACGUAAAA
RNAcentral lists this microRNA precursor (152 nucleotides) under Oryza sativa (Asian cultivated rice). RNAcentral's name for it is "miR5542 stem-loop (osa-MIR5542)". The record is from miRBase by way of RNAcentral. Lineage: Eukaryota; Viridiplantae; Streptophyta; Magnoliopsida; Poales; Poaceae.